CUACGGGUCGCUCCAGGCGCGAAACCUUUACAAUGCACGAGAGUGUGAUAAGGGGAUUCCGAGUGCUGUAGUUAAAACUGCAGCUUUUAUUGAGUUUAAAUCGCUCUUUGAAUAAGGGGUGGGUAAGACGGGUGCCAGCCGCCGCGGUAAUACCCGCGCCUGAGUGGUAUUCACUUUUAUUGGGUUUAAAGCGUUCGUAGCCGGUCUAACAAGUUCCUGGUGAAAUUCCACUGUAAACGGUGGAGCUUGCUGGGAAGACUGUUAGACUUGGGACCGGGAGAGGGCAGAGGUACUCAUGAGGUAGGGGUAAAAUCCUGUAAUCUUAUGGGGACCACCUGUGGCGAAGGCGUCUGCCUGGAACGGGUCCGACGGUGAUGGACGAAAGCUAGGGGAGCGAUCGGGAUUAGAUACCCCCGUAGUC
RNAcentral lists this ribosomal RNA (421 nucleotides) under uncultured archaeon. Its description in RNAcentral is "partial 16S ribosomal RNA". It matches the Rfam family "Archaeal small subunit ribosomal RNA", at positions 323 to 746 of the family's 1478-position model. The record is from RNAcentral.